AUACGAAGGGCCCAAGCGUUAAGCGGAAUCACUGGGCUUAAAGGGUGCGUAGGCGGAACAGUAAGUACUUUGUGAAAUCCCACGGCUCAACCGUGGAAGUGCAAGGUAUACUGCUGUUCUUGAGGUCGGUAGAGGUAACCGGAACUGUAGGUGUAGCGGUGAAAUGCGUAGAUAUCUACAGGAACACCAAUGGAGAAGUCAGGUUACUGGGCCGAUUCUGACGCUGAGGCACGAAAGCGUGGGGAGCAAACAGGAUUAGAAACCCCUGUAGUCC
Molecule: ribosomal RNA, 274 nt
Filed under: uncultured bacterium
Lineage: Bacteria
Description: partial 16S ribosomal RNA
Rfam family: Bacterial small subunit ribosomal RNA
Source: RNAcentral